This 386-nucleotide ribosomal RNA is filed under the name Giardia duodenalis. Its description in RNAcentral is "SSU rRNA". The stretch from base 1 to 339 matches the Rfam family "Eukaryotic small subunit ribosomal RNA", at positions 43 to 470 of the family's 1831-position model. Lineage: Eukaryota; Fornicata; Diplomonadida; Hexamitidae. The record is from RNAcentral.
ACACAAGCCAUGCAUGCCCGCGCACCCGGGAGGCGGCGGACGGCUCAGGACAACGGUUGCACCCCCCGCGGCGGUCCCUGCUAGCCGGACACCGCUGGCAACCCGGCGCCAAGACGUGCGCGCAAGGGCGGGCGCCCGCGGGCGAGCAGCGUGACGCAGCGACGGCCCGCCCGGGCUUCCGGGGCAUCACCCGGUCGGCGCGGUCGCGGCGCGCCGAGGGCCCGACGCCUGGCGGAGAAUCAGGGUUCGACUCCGGAGAGCGGGCCUGAGAGACGGCCCGCACAUCCAAGGACGGCAGCAGGCGCGGAACUUGCCCAAUGCGCGCGCGCGAGGCAGCGACGGGGAGUGCGCGAGCGAGGCGGGCCCACAGCCCCCGCCGCGAGCCG